This 475-nucleotide ribosomal RNA is filed under the name uncultured bacterium. Its description in RNAcentral is "bacterial SSU rRNA". It matches the Rfam family "Bacterial small subunit ribosomal RNA", at positions 37 to 507 of the family's 1533-position model. The record is from RNAcentral.
UGGCGGCAGGCUUAACACAUGCAAGUCGAGCGGUAGCAGAUCUAGCUUGCUAGAUGCUGACGAGCGGCGGACGGGUGAGUAACGCGUAGGAACCUGCCCAGUAGUGGGGGAUAGCCCGGGGAAACUCGGAUUAAUACCGCAUACGCUCUACGGAGGAAAGAGGGGGCUUCGGCUCUCGCUAUUGGAUGGGCCUGCGUGAGAUUAGCUAGUUGGUGAGGUAAUGGCUCACCAAGGCGACGAUCUCUAGCUGGUCUGAGAGGAUGAUCAGCCACACUGGGACUGAGACACGGCCCAGACUCCUACGGGAGGCAGCAGCGGGGAAUAUUGCACAAUGGGCGCAAGCCUGAUGCAGCCAUGCCGCGUGUGUGAAGAAGGCUUUCGGGUUGUAAAGCACUUUCAGUGGGGAGGAAGGCCUCGUAGUUAAUAGCUGCGAGGAUUGACGUUACCCACAGAAGAAGCACCGGCUAACUCCGUG